This 225-nucleotide ribosomal RNA is filed under the name Klebsiella pneumoniae. RNAcentral describes it as "partial 23S ribosomal RNA". It matches the Rfam family "Bacterial large subunit ribosomal RNA", at positions 2718 to 2925 of the family's 2925-position model. The record is from RNAcentral. Lineage: Bacteria; Pseudomonadati; Pseudomonadota; Gammaproteobacteria; Enterobacterales; Enterobacteriaceae.
GGGUUGUCAUGCCAAUGGCACUGCCCGGUAGCUAAAUGCGGAAGAGAUAAGUGCUGAAAGCAUCUAAGCACGAAACUUGCCCCGAGAUGAGUUCUCCCUGAGACUUUAAGUCUCCUGAAGGAACGUUGAAGACGACGACGUUGAUAGGCCGGGUGUGUAAGCGCAGCGAUGCGUUGAGCUAACCGGUACUAAUGAACCGUGAGGCUUACCCUUACAACGCCGAAG